UACGUAGGGUGCGAGCGUUGUCCGGAAUUAUUGGGCGUAAAGAGCUUGUAGGCGGUUUGUCGCGUCUGCCGUGAAAAUCCGGGGCUCAACCCCGGACUUGCGGUGGGUACGGGCAGACUAGAGUGUGGUAGGGGAGACUGGAAUUCCUGGUGUAGCGGUGAAAUGCGCAGAUAUCAGGAGGAACACCGAUGGCGAAGGCAGGUCUCUGGGCCGAUACUGACGCUGAGAAGCGAAAGCGUGGGGAGCGAACAGG
Molecule: ribosomal RNA, 253 nt
Filed under: uncultured bacterium
Lineage: Bacteria
Description: partial 16S ribosomal RNA
Rfam family: Bacterial small subunit ribosomal RNA
Source: RNAcentral